This is a long non-coding RNA of Sus scrofa (pig), 908 nucleotides long. RefSeq lists it as uncharacterized. Lineage: Eukaryota; Metazoa; Chordata; Mammalia; Artiodactyla; Suidae. The record is from RefSeq and is a predicted model, not a curated record.
UCCUUGUAGAGUGCCCACAGUGACUCAGGGCUGAGUCUGUUACUGCUUAGACCAUUAGAAUAGGGCAGAAACAAUGCCCUGCCGAUCCCAACCCAAACACCACAUGUGACUGAGCAGCCACUGGGUCCCAGUUGAGCUCCAAGCCUCAGAGGACCACAGCCAUUCCAGCAACCAGCUGAUACCACACAGAAACAGAAGCGCCUGAUCAACCUAUUCAAUCACAAGCGUUCUUCGCAUCGUGGGGACUCAAAUGUGAGCUGUGAGAAAAUCAGAGCUGUCCAAUCCUUCAACCCCCGAGUCACACAGCACCACAAGGAGUCCUCUGGAAGGCUAGCAGCAGUGAGAGUGGCCUGAAGAGAACAAAAAGACCAGCCUCCCCAAAUAAGAAUUCUCCAGCCGUCUGCCUAUGGACUCCAUCUGCACCAUUGGCUCUCCUGGGUCUCUGUCUGCUGGCCUUUGGACUGGAACUGCACCACCAGCUCUCCUGGGUCUCAAGUCUAUCAACCCACAUUGUGGACUUGGACUUGCUAGCCUCCAUAAAUACAUAUGCCAAAUCUUUAUAAUACAGAGUGUAUACACACAAUCAAUUGGUCCUGCGUCUCUGGAGAAUACUGACUGAUACAGGAGGUCCCACGGUUUAACAGUUACACAGGAAGAGUGAUUCAAUGAGAGCAAGUGGUCUCUCCUGACUAGGGCAUGCCUCACCUCUCUCCCUACCAUGAUGUUCUCCAGCAACCAUGCUGUUUGGGGAUGCAUGAAUAUGCCUGGAAUGGAUACAGCUAGACACGCCUUAUUUUUAUUAGAUUCCUAAGAAGAGAAAUGAGUCCUGAAAGCAGUGCAUACUCUGUUCAAAGCUUUAAAACACAAAUAUGAUAUAAAAGUCACGUAAUUAAAUCUUCACCAACAUU